RNA transcript from Hemiscyllium ocellatum (epaulette shark), 2785 nucleotides. It is a transcript of the gene named coiled-coil domain-containing protein 9-like, with no coding region annotated. Lineage: Eukaryota; Metazoa; Chordata; Chondrichthyes; Orectolobiformes; Hemiscylliidae. The transcript has 16 exons. The record is from RefSeq and is a predicted model, not a curated record.
CCUCCAGAAGCUGUUUGGAAGCAGCCCAGGAUUGCUAAUAUUCAAAAUGCACAAAACUGAUACAGCAGUGGAUGUAAUUUUAAAGACCAAGGAGGAGAAAGAUGCAGAACUAGAUAAAAAGAUAGAAGCUUUACGGAAAAAGAAUGAAGCACUUGUGAAAAGAUAUCAGGAAAUUGAAGAAGACAAGAAAAAGGCAGAACUGGAGGGAAUGGCUGUUACCACUCGAAAGAACAGACCUGAAAAUCUCACCAUCACUAUUACGAAAGCCCCGAAUGAAAAGAGGGUGGUCAGUGAGAAACGGACAUUUGGACCAACAAGCAGUCUUAGAGGGAGUGAAGCAGAUGCAGGUCAAAGAUUUUCUGUAGGAAGAGGACAAAGACUUCGUAAAUUUGUUGUGGAGGAGAGCAAAGCAAAGGAAUGGGAGGAAAGGAGAAAGCAAAACAUAGAAAAGAUGAAUGAAGAAAUGGAGAAAAUAGCUGAAUAUGAACGUAGCCAACUGGAAGGAAAAGUUGACAAGAACCCAGUUAGAAAUUUCUUGGAUGACCGUCGGCGUUCAGGUCCCUUACCAGAGGGGGAUAAGCGAGUGGGCAGUCGGCGUAAUGUUCGCAACUGGGGUGGCCCGGACUUUGAGAUGGUAAAGUCUGGUAUAGAAAAGAAACGUUGGGAAAAAGGGUGUCCGGAGGGUGGACUGCCAGCUCAGAAAGGCACGGUGGACAUGACUUUAUUGAUGACUGGCCGGGAGAGAGCAGAGUAUGUCCGCUGGAAGAAGGAACGGGAACAGAUAGAUCAAGAGAGGCUAGCACGUCACAAAAACUCCAAAGGAGAAUGGAAAAGAGCUUGGGAUGCAAACAAAACUGAAGACAUGUUUCGAGAAGAUUUUGCUGUGGAAAAUGAGCUUGGUUUUCAUAAAAGAAAAGGUGGAAGAAAUGCAAGGAAAAGCAGUGGACGAUUUCAGCAUCAUGACACACGAGAUGAUGGAAAUCAUGCCGACAAGACCAAAGAAUUGUUUCCGUGGUCUGAAGCAACAGAUAGCAGUAAAUCAAAGGGCAAAGAUAGAUUGACUGGAAGAGCCAGAAGCUUUAAAUUGGAUAUAAAAGAGAAGAAUGAAAUACAAAGAGACACUAGAGGACAAUGGGUGGAGACAGUCACAGAAGAACAUAAGAAGCAAAAAGUAAAUGAAGAUGCUGAGUUGAGGAAGAAUGUUGACUUAGAUGUGGUCAUGUUUGAUUGGCAGGAGGCUGAAGAAGGCACUGACUGGAUGAAUGGAGAGUGGGAAACUAUCGAGAUGCGUGACUCCCAAAAAAGCUCCAUCAAUCGCAAAGUUGUUCGUAGAGCUCCGAUGGAUACUGAAGGAACUGUGAACAAGCCAAAACCUUGCAGUAGUAAGUUGGGUAAUCUAUCAUUGGCCGAGGAGUUGGUACACAUCAGGCCUAUAUUGCACCAUAAUGUUUCAGGCAAAAGCAAUUCUGAUUUCCCUUCAGAAAAUGGAAUUUCAGUUCAUACUAUUCUGACAAAGAAUGACAUGCAGGAUCUUGAAGAUACAGGAAAUGUGUUAAAAUAUUGUUCCCCCUCAGACUCUAGUAAAAAGUCAGCAUCGGUUGCCUUUGAUGAGAUAUCAAACCAACUUAGUACUAUAGAGGAUCAUUUACCAUUAAAAGACAGAAAUCAACUUGGACUUGAAUUGGCUGGUUGUCCUAACUCUCUGGAUGGUAAUGCUGCAGUUCUGGAGAAAAAUGUAUUAAUUGCUGUUUGCGACGAAGAAAAGAAAUGUUCUUCAGCUAUUUGUAUUACAACCAAAGGUUUGGCAAUGAGUGUGAAAUUGCAAGAUCAGUCUGCACAGGAAAUUGCUGGGAAAUUGCAGCCAGCUGUGAUAACAGAUCAUGCAGUAACUUUGCAGGAUGACCAAGGUAACAGUUUCCCUACUUCCAGAGUUGGAAUUGUUUCUUCUGAGCAUCAACCAGGGAAGUAUCAAGAGGAACUGUCAAAAGGAAAUGUAAGAACUGACAUUGAUUGUGAGGAAAUUAAAGGGACGCCUGAUGAUUCAGCAAGCUCAAAGGUUUCACCUGAUGCUGCCAUUCUAGACAUUACCAAUACUAUUAAUGGGAUGAUGAUUGAAGGAAAAUGAAGUAACUGCCAUACCGAUGGUUGGAUCAGAAGUGAAGCCCCUACAUGAGAGAAGUUACUCUUGCCAUUAAGAAGAUGAAGAACAGAAGCUGAGCACUGAACACAGACAGGGAGAAAGGAAAAAGAAUAAAAAGUUCCCUCCUCAGAUGUCUCCCUUCCAGAUGUCUUAGGCGAGGUCUGGAUACAGAUUAUUUGCUCAUUUACAGAACUUGUCCUGUGACGGAGAGAAGUUUGAAACAAGAAUUAUUUAAAUGAAAACAUUCAUUAUUGGGUUGAGUAUUUCUGUAUGAAAAUUGGUGAAACUGUCACUGACUUCUGCCUCAAGUUGUUUCAUUGAGGAUUUAUAAAGUGUAAGUAUUGGGAAAGAGAUAUUGCUAUCGAUAAUCUAUCCAAUCUUCCAUUUUAAUACAUUAUUCAUCUUGUAAAAUGUGUGUAUUUUCCUGACAUUAGGUCUGCUUUAAUAAAUGUAACUCUUUUGAGUUUGUGAAAUAGUUAAUACCAUGAAACAUUUUUGCAAAGACGACGUGAGUGAAAUGGGUGUGUGUCAGGGUCAGUUCUGGGUGUGUUUGAGGAGCUGACCCCUCAACAAACAACCUAAUAGCCCUGAAAUUCUGAUUUGGGUUGGAAACCCUAUUUCAAACAAAAAUGCACAUAGUUACGU